Molecule: ribosomal RNA, 79 nt
Filed under: Leyella stercorea
Lineage: Bacteria; Pseudomonadati; Bacteroidota; Bacteroidia; Bacteroidales; Prevotellaceae
Description: partial 16S ribosomal RNA
Rfam family: Bacterial small subunit ribosomal RNA
Source: RNAcentral
ACAAUGUAGAGUUUGAUCCUGGCUCAGGAUGAACGCUAGCUACAGGCUUAACACAUGCAAGUCGAGGGGCAGCAUGUCG